GAAUACCGGAGGCGAAGGCGGGUAGCUGGGCAGACACUGACACUCAUCACCGAAAGCGUGGGGAUCAAACAGGAUUAGAUACCCUGGUAGUCCACGCCGUAAACGAUGGAUACUUGUUGUUGGAGGUAUUGACCCCUUCAGUGACGAAGCUAACGCGUUAAGUAUCCCGCCUGGGGAGUACGGUCGCAAGAUUAAAACUCAAAGGAAUUGACGGGGACCCGCACAAGCAGCGGAGCGUGUGGUUUAAUUCGAUGCAACGCGAAGAACCUUACCAGGGUUUGACAUGCAACUGCACCGCCCGUAAUGGGGCGUCCCUUCGGGGCGGUUGCACAGGUGCUGCAUGGCUGUCGUCAGCUCGUGUCGUGAGAUGUUGGGUUCAGUCCCGCAACGAGCGCAACCCCUGCCGCUAGUUGAAUGAUCUAGCGGGACCGCCGCGAUCAACGCGGAGGAAGGCGGGGAUGACGUCAAGUCAGCACGGCCCUUACGUCCUGGGCAACACACACGCUACAAUGGUCGGUACAACGGGCCGCCAACCCGCGAGGGGGAGCCAAUCCCAUCAAAACCGGCCUCAGUUCAGAUUGCAGGCUGCAACCCGCCUGCAUGAAGGAGGAGUUGCUAGUAACCGUGGGUCAGCACACUACGGUGAAUACGUUCCCGGGUCUUGUACACACCGCCCGU
Molecule: ribosomal RNA, 678 nt
Filed under: uncultured soil bacterium
Lineage: Bacteria
Description: bacterial SSU rRNA
Rfam family: Bacterial small subunit ribosomal RNA
Source: RNAcentral